AGCAGCCGCGGUAAUUCCAGCUCCAAUAGCGUAUAUUAAAGUUGUUGCAGUUAAAAAGCUCGUAGUUGAAUUUCGGGAUUGACGUGAUGGUCAUGCCUUAAGGGGUAUGAACUGUUACUGUUGAUUUCUCACCUUCUGGAGAAACUUGAUGUCCUUUAUUGGGUGUCUUGCGGAUCCAGGACCUUUACCUUGAAAAAUUAGAGUGUUUAAAGCAGGCAUUUUUGCUCGAAUACAUUAGCAUGGAAUAAUAGAAUAGGACGGCAUGGUUCUAUUUUGUUGGUUUCUAGGAUCACCGUAAUGAUUAAUAGGGAUAGUUGGGGGCAUUAGUAUUCAAUUGUCAGAGGUGAAAUUCUUGGAUUUAUUGAAGACUAACUACUGCGAAAGCAUUUGCCAAGGAUGUUUUCAUUAAUCAAGAACGAAAGUUAGGGGAUCGAAGACGAUCAGAUACCGUCGUAGUCUUAACCAUAAACUAUGCCGACUAGGAAUCAGACGAUGUUAAUUUUUAAUGU
RNAcentral lists this ribosomal RNA (509 nucleotides) under uncultured Entrophospora. RNAcentral describes it as "SSU rRNA". It matches the Rfam family "Eukaryotic small subunit ribosomal RNA", at positions 569 to 1076 of the family's 1831-position model. The record is from RNAcentral. Lineage: Eukaryota; Fungi; Glomeromycota; Glomeromycetes; Entrophosporales; Entrophosporaceae.